GUGUGGUUUACCACAGGCUUUGUUCUUACACUGACUGUAGAGAAAGAGGAGGCAAAAAUAGAUGUACCCCAUAUACAUAGCCCACCUCCUGUGACUGGUUUGUAUUGGGAAUUGGGAGGCGGAU
This 124-nucleotide small nucleolar RNA is filed under the name Castor canadensis (American beaver). RNAcentral describes it as "Small nucleolar RNA SNORA51 (ENSCCNG00000002838.1)". It matches the Rfam family "Small nucleolar RNA SNORA51". From Rfam's summary of the family: ACA51 is a member of the H/ACA class of snoRNA that guide the sites of modification of uridines to pseudouridines. Lineage: Eukaryota; Metazoa; Chordata; Mammalia; Rodentia; Castoridae. The record is from Rfam by way of RNAcentral.